Long non-coding RNA from Macaca mulatta (Rhesus monkey), 1793 nucleotides. The record is from Ensembl. NCBI's taxonomy places the organism in Eukaryota, Metazoa, Chordata, Mammalia, Primates, Cercopithecidae.
AGAGUGCCGGUGCGACUUCCCUGGCCCCCCACACCUGAGGACCAGAGAACUUCGCCCGAGAGUGUGUGCAUAUUUGCAAUAAAAGACUGCCACUUUCUUAUGUACUUUGGCCUCAUGUUUAAUUAUUUAGCUCUCCUAAAUUAAAUUAAAUGAAACAAAACAAGCACCAUGAGAAUGCCAUUGUACCAACUUGUUUGUCUGUAAGACAACAGAACUUCAAAGCUAUGAGGUGCCUGCCUUUCUUCCAAUCAAGUAGACUCUACUAGUCAUCCGUAGAGAUGCAUGAGCUUGGAGCAUUUCCUUGUAUUUAAGCUGAGGAAAGGGAGAAUAUCCCCAGCCCCAUUUCAAGCUGUCAUCAUGAACAGUAGUGGAGGAGUGGAUUUGCCUAACAGCUGUCAGAGCUAACACCGGGCAGUGUCAGCAGCAGAGCUGGAGCUACCUUUGGUGGAGCGACUUUCCUCUUGCUCAACUCCUGGGUUCCCUCCUACUGGUCUGAACCAGUGACGCAGAUGGCAAGCGAAACAGGUCUGCUGGAGUUUGCUGGAGGUUCACUCCAGACCCUGUUUGCCUGGAUAUCACCAGCGGAGUCUGCAGAACAGCCAAGGUUGCUGCCUGUUCCUUCUUCUGGAAGCUUCAUCCCAAAGUGGCACCAGAUACCAGGCAGAGCUGUCCUGUAUGAGCCCAGAAUUCCACUGAGGAAGCUGUUGUGGCAGGGAGAUAGCCUGCAACUCAGGUGCCCAGGUACCACCCGAGCCCAAGGCACCAUCAUCCAUCUCUAGAUUCUGCACCCCAACUGGUCUUCCUGGUUCUACAUUCGCCCCUAUUCAUUUUCCCCACAGCAGCCAGGGUGAUCAUUUUGAGAAUGUAAAUGAGAACAUGUUACUUCCCUGCUUUAAACACCCCAUGACUCCUCCACCAAACCCAUCAUAAAUCCAUAUUUCUUCCUCUGACCACCUCUGUGUCCUGAUGUCCUAUCCUUCUCCUUGCAUUUCUCCCUAGUCACAGUGAGCAGGAACCAGAAUGUUGCUGAUGAAGAACAUUAGCCUCGCUGGCAAGGCUGAUGAGAACCUUAUAAGCCCAUUACAACACCUCAGCCAAGUCAUUUCUGACAACGCUCCUUAAACUGACAGACAUGCCUAUCCAGGCAGAGGCGCAGAUGGUGACCUUCAGGCCUUCCCAGUAGCAUGUUUUUUCCUGCAUUGCUAUCCUCUCUUAAAAAUGUUACCUUGGCCGGGCGAGGAGCUCACGCCUGUAAUCCCAGCACUUUGGGAGGCUGAGGUGGGCAGAUCACAAGGUCAGGAGAUCGAGACCAUCCUGGCUAACAUGGUGAAACCCCAUCUCUACUAAAAAUACAAAAAAAUUAGCCUGGUGUGGUGGCAGGCGCCUGUAGUCCCAGCUACUUGGGAGACUGAGGCAGGAGAAUGGCAUGAACCCGGGAGGCAGAGCUUGCAGUGAACCAAGAUUUCACCACUGCACCCCGAGCCUGGCCAACAGAGCGAAACUCCUCCUCAAAAAAAAAAAAAAAAAAAAAAAAGUUACCUUACACAUUAACAAAAAACAAUGUUCUCAUUGUUCUCUCUUGGCACCCAGUUCUGUUCUUCUUUACCGAACUUUCCAGAGUUUAUAAUUACGUAGUCAAUGCAUGUGUUUCUGUGUGCAUAUGUGCAUUGCCUGUCUUUUCCAUUAGUCUGUAAGCUCUAGGAGGAAAGGCUUCACGUUACUUUUGAAGGCCUCUGUAUAUGUAGUAUGUAGCACAGUACCUGAUAAAUAAAUAUUUGCUGAAUGAAUAAAUG